This 1552-nucleotide ribosomal RNA is filed under the name human gut metagenome. RNAcentral describes it as "bacterial LSU rRNA". It matches the Rfam family "Bacterial large subunit ribosomal RNA", at positions 447 to 1996 of the family's 2925-position model. The record is from RNAcentral.
CCGGGACCAUCCGGUAAGGCUAAAUACUCCCGAGAGACCGAUAGCGAACCAGUACCGUGAGGGAAAGGUGAAAAGCACUUCGAACAGAAGAGUGAAAUAGUUCCUGAAACCGUGCGCCUACAAGCGGUCGGAGCUCGUUAAUGAGUGACGGCGUGCCUUUUGCAUAAUGAACCUACGAGUUGCCUUUGCCGGCAAGGUUAAGUGUGACGACACACGUAUCCGAAGCGAAAGCGAGUCUGAAUAGGGCGUAUAGUCGGCAGUGGCAGACGCGAAACCAAGUGAUCUACCCUUGGCCAGGUUGAAGGCUGGGUAACACCAGCUGGAGGACCGCACCAAUAAGCGUUGAAAAGCUUCUGGAUGAGCUGAGGGUAGGGGUGAAAGGCUAAUCAAACUUGGAGAUAGCUCGUACUCCCCGAAAUGCAUUUAGGUGCAGCCUUGCGGGUUACUGAUGUGAGGUAGAGCGACUGAUAAGAUGCGAGGGCUUCACCGCCUAUCAAGUCUUGACAAACUCCGAAUGCGCAUCAGUUCUACCGCAGGAGUGAGGGCAUGGGUGCUAAGGUCCGUGCCCGAGAGGAGAAGAAUCCGGACCACCUGCUAAGGUCCCGAAAUGACAGCUAAGUUAAACUAACGAAGUCUGACUGCUAAGACAGCUAGGAUGUUGGCUUGGAAGCAGCCAUUCAUUUAAAGAGUGCGUAACAGCUCACUAGUCGAGGAGUCGGGCGUGGAUAAUAAUCGGGUAUUAAGUUGUCUACCGAAGCAGUGGGAUCAUUAAUAUGAUCGGUAGGGGAGCAUUCCAGUCAGCGUCGAAGGCGUACCGUGAGGUAUUCUGGAGCGUCUGGAAAAGCAAAUGUAGGUAUAAGUAACGAUAAAGGGGGCGGGAAACCCCCUCGCCGAAAGACUAAGGUUUCCUGAUCAACGCUAAUCGGAUCAGGGUAAGUCGGGUCCUAAGGCUCAGCCGAAGGGCGAUGCCGAUGGCAGAAACGGUUAAUAUUCCGUUACUACCUCCAGGAGUGAUGUGGAGACGCAGUAGUGACAAUGCCGCCAUCUGACGGAAUAGAUGGUUGAAGGGUGUAGAUGUUGAUCUUGGCAGGCAAAUCCACCAUGAGAAUCGAACCUGAUAGUAUGCCGCGUCCCUCGGGACAAGGCAAUAGUGCAUGUAAUCAUGCUGCCAAGAAAAUCCGCUAAACUAAAUCCUGUAGGUACCCGUACCGUAAACGGACACACGUAGUCGGGAUGAAUAUUCUAAGGCGCUUGAGUGAUUCACGGUUAAGGAACUAGGCAAACUGACCCUGUAACUUCGGGAUAAAGGGUCCCUACCCGGAAACGGGAGGGCGCAGAGAAUAGGUCCAGGCAACUGUUUAACAAAAACACAGGGCUGUGCGAAAUCGAAAGAUCCUGUAUACAGCCUGACACCUGCCCGGUGCUGGAAGGUUAAGAGGAGACGUCAUCGUUGAGAGAAGCGUUGAAUUGAAGCCCCAGUAAACGGCGGCCGUAACAAUAACGGUCCUAAGGUAGCGAAAUUCCUUGUCGGGUAAGUUCCGACCUGCACGAA